CCCCAGACCACUUAAUUACUUGAAAAGAUAAUCUGAAUAACAUUUGAUCAAAUUUUUCAUUAGAACUCCCUUUUAAUUUUUCAUUAGCUUCAUAAUUAACUGAAUUUGUACAGUCAUCAGUCUGUUUACAGAUUUUUGCUUUGUAAAGUGCUGUACCGUAACCCUGUCUCUUUUCUCUUGCUUUCCAGAUUAUCACACAAAGCAGCAGAAGGCAACCAUAUAUCCUUCUUCUGGUGACUAGAACAUCCAUUUCAAUGUAUCAUCAGAUGUGUUUCCAUGGGUUGAAGGAAAAUGGGCUUCUCACUCCAAGUCUUAUUUGAAUUUUCAUUUCAUUUGAUUAAGCAGGUAUCAUUUCUGUCCUGACAAGAGGAGGCUCCACCUGCCGACUGCCCACCAACGCAUCCAGCUGUCUGCUUUGCAGAACAGGCAAGGUAAUUUG
Oxyura jamaicensis (ruddy duck) is the source of this 439-nucleotide long non-coding RNA. RefSeq lists it as uncharacterized. The transcript has 2 exons. Lineage: Eukaryota; Metazoa; Chordata; Aves; Anseriformes; Anatidae. The record is from RefSeq and is a predicted model, not a curated record.